AUACGGAGGGUGCGAGCGUUAAUCGGAAUUACUGGGCGUGAAGGGUGCGUAGGCGGCUUGAUAAGUCGGAUGUGAAAGCCCCGGGCUUAACCUGGGAAUUGCAUUCGAUACUGUCAGGCUAGAGUAUGUCAGAGGUUGGCGGAAUUCCUGGUGUAGCGGUGAAAUGCGUAGAUAUCAGGAGGAACACCAGUGGCGAAGGCGGCUAACUGGGACAACACUGACGCUGAGGCACGAAAGCGUGGGGAGCAAACAGGAUUAGAUACCCUAGUAGUCC
This 274-nucleotide ribosomal RNA is filed under the name uncultured bacterium. RNAcentral describes it as "partial 16S ribosomal RNA". It matches the Rfam family "Bacterial small subunit ribosomal RNA", at positions 523 to 796 of the family's 1533-position model. The record is from RNAcentral.